RNAcentral lists this ribosomal RNA (253 nucleotides) under uncultured bacterium. RNAcentral describes it as "partial 16S ribosomal RNA". It matches the Rfam family "Bacterial small subunit ribosomal RNA", at positions 524 to 776 of the family's 1533-position model. The record is from RNAcentral.
UACAGAGGUCUCAAGCGUUGUUCGGAUUCAUUGGGCGUAAAGGGUGCGUAGGCGGCGCGGUAAGUCGGGUGUGAAAUUUCGGAGCUUAACUCCGAAACUGCAUUCGAUACUGCCGUGCUUGAGGACUGGAGAGGAGACUGGAAUUUACGGUGUAGCGGUGAAAUGCGUAGAUAUCGUAAGGAAGACCAGUGGCGAAGGCGGGUCUCUGGACAGUUCCUGACGCUGAGGCACGAAGGCCAGGGGAGCAAACGGG